UGGGGAAUUUUGGACAAUGGACGCAAGCCUGAUCCAGCAAUGCCGCGUGCAGGAUGAAGGCCUUCGGGUUGUAAACUGCUUUUGUACGGAACGAAACGGCUCUGGUUAAUACCUGGGGCUAAUGACGGUACCGUAAGAAUAAGCACCGGCUAACUACGUGCCAGCAGCCGCGGUAAUACGUAGGGUGCGAGCGUUAAUCGGAAUUACUGGGCGUAAAGCGUGCGCAGGCGGUGAUGUAAGGCAGAUGUGAAAUCCCCGGGCUCAACCUGGGACCUGCAUUUGUGACUGCAUCGCUGGAGUGCGGCAGAGGGGGAUGGAAUUCCGCGUGUAGCAGUGAAAUGCGUAGAUAUGCGGAGGAACACCGAUGGCGAAGGCAAUCCCCUGGGCCUGCACUGACGCUCAUGCACGAAAGCGUGGGGAGCAAUCA
This 427-nucleotide ribosomal RNA is filed under the name uncultured bacterium. RNAcentral's name for it is "bacterial SSU rRNA". It matches the Rfam family "Bacterial small subunit ribosomal RNA", at positions 355 to 774 of the family's 1533-position model. The record is from RNAcentral.